AUACCUAUAUAUUAAUUUUCAAAAGAAAUGCCACAUAGUUGUAUUUUCUUUUCUUUUGGACUUCACAUUGCAAAACCAAUCCUUUAUCUUCUCUCUACCCAUAACGUCUAAUUAAUGGUUCACCCACCUUAAUCCAACCUUUCGCCUUUCCUCCUCACAUAAUGUGUAAUUAAUGGUCCAUCCACCUUAACCCAAUCCUUCGCUUUCUCUCAGCACAUAACGUCUAAUUAAUAGUCCACCCACCUUACCCCUAUUGUAAACCAUAAAUCGUAGAAACCCACACAAAAAGCCCCCUUCUCUCAUUCUUUGCUUUCUCUUUCUCCUCCAUGGGCUCUGUAAGGUACCGAACUUCUAAAAUUAUGAAGUUACGGCGGAUGUAGUAUACUGAAUUUUUAAUAUAAAAAUAAAUAUAAAUAAAAAUAGUGUGAGAUACUAUUUUUAUUGGAUUUAAGGGUGUAAAGUAUAAGUUGGAAAUGACCUGUGCUGAAAUCGGAGCGAAAACAGAAGAUUUAGAAUUUUCUGUGAGAGACGGGGCAGAUAAAUUAGCAGAAAAUGCACAGUGUCAGAAAAUUAUAAAAACUGGAGAAUAUGUCAGAAUUAUUUUUAUGAGGCUAGAUUUAAAGUUUCAUACCAUUCUGACGCUUGAAAAAUGGAAAAUAAAAUUCGACUGCUAUUUGAUAAAGAUUACAGUUCGGUACAGCUUUCGGUGACCAAACAUAGUCGAAACUGAAAGAUUAAAAUUUCUUUGGACUUAUUAAGUAAAACCGAGCCUGCCUGUUAAAUUUGAGCUCAAACGGAUAUUCAGAGGGCUCCGGCGAAAGAUAUCAAAUUUCGUACUGCCUGAAGUGAAUAGUG
Molecule: long non-coding RNA, 855 nt
Filed under: Ananas comosus (pineapple)
Lineage: Eukaryota; Viridiplantae; Streptophyta; Magnoliopsida; Poales; Bromeliaceae
Description: long non-coding RNA (ACOM_LNC038539)
Source: RNAcentral